CUUACGAGGCCCCUGGUUUGCCUGCCUCCUGGCUGACAGGCUCAGCUAUCCCAGCCCCCAGCUGGGGCUGCCCGUGGGUCUCACCUCCCCAGCCUGCAUUAGGAAGGAAGGACGGAGACCUACGUUCUGCAGAGCUGGUUGCCCAGGGCGGGCUGCGACCACAACCAGACUGCCAGCUCCUUGAUGAGUUAGGAGAGAGACACCCAGAGACAGAGGCAGAGGGAUCUCUCUCCAGGUGGUUACAGAAAAAGUUUGCAGAGCCUUGCCCUGGAGGAUGGUGUGGACACAAGAUGGAGAGAACCAGCGUCUCUGAAUCCUUAAGGGGAGGAAAUUUGUUUGCCAGCCAGGAACACCCACUCACCCUGGACUCUUAGUGUGGAAUCUGCAGUGCCCAGCAGAGUGGUGGACAACACGUGGGCUUUGACAGGAGAAGGAAACGGCAUUGCUUUGCUGGAAACCCGUGAGGAGUCCAUUUGGCCACUUAAUGAGGUGCAGUUAUCCCAGAGGAGCGGCAUGGAUGGACAGACGCAGUGAAAGCUGGUCUCCAGUCCCAGCUCCUAAAAGGCCUGGCCCAUGUACCACCUCCUCCGUGAAGCCUUCUUGGAUUGCACCAGUCUGCACUACUGUCCCUGGACCAAGCCUGCACAGCCUCUUUAGGCUCUCCCAAAGGAUGGAUCUUCAUUCCCUUCCUCUGUUGGCUGUGUUCCCUGAGCAGACCCCUGCCUACCACCCCUCAGAGAUCAGAGCUGAGCAAGAGACAGGAUCCCACAGCCCAGACUCCUAGGUGCUCAGAUCUUCCCUGGAGAUGCCACUUGGGAUGUGGAGGAAUAACAGGAAGGCGCCUCAGAAGAAGGAAAGAGGCAGGACCGUUAUUACCAGCCACACCAAGGUCGGCAGAAACUGUAAGACGACCCACUGAGACCCUGGGUGGGGUUGCCCGAGAGCAGGAAAGCCCAAAAGCCCUGGCUGCCUCCUCGCCUCACCUCCUGGUCCAGCCUCCCCUGUGUGGCCUCACCUCCUGACACGCACCUCGUGAGCCUGCGCAGGUGCGUCUUGGCAAAUCUCAGGGAGGAGCAUGUCUGGCCCCUGCCCUGGGGCAACUCACAGUCUGGUUGGGAGGACUGUGACCCGGGCAAAAAGAACAGUUCCAUAGGCUGUGGCCCUGAUUUGGAGCCCCCUGUGCGCCAAGAAGAGGCAGUUCUAGGCGGCUGGGGCCCCAGGGGAGACUUCCUGGAGGAGACGGUGUUUGCACCGACUUGUGAGACUUUGGCAGACGCUGAGGCCAGAACCCAAUCCUGAAAAGAGAUUCAUCAAAACCUGGCAAAACUACCCAAAGCCUCUUCUGGAUAUGACUUUACUUCAGACACAAUAUUUUGAUCGUUUCCACAUAAGAUGGAUCAGAAACAUAUGCAUUAAUUUCCUCUUAAAAGUAUACACUCGCUGUACUUGGCAAAACGCAGUGCGGGAUUCGAUGAGCGUAAGGCAACCGAAGAAUUGUAUGGGAUCCAAGGCUGGGAGGUCUCAGAAGCCAGAGCGUCUUUCGGCCUGUUUCUGGAGGCUUCUUCUCCAACUCACUUGCAGGGGCCUCAGAAGCCGAAAGUUGAAGUCCAAGAUCAGGCCAGAUCUCAAUGCACUCCUUCUACAGAGGGUCUGACACCAGCUGGCCCCAUCCUGGAGCUGAUUUCCUGAAAGAAGCACAGGCUCCGGACGUGCAGGCUUAGCGGCCAUGGCUCACGGGCCCAGCCGCUCCGCGGCAUGUGGGAUCUUCCUGGACCGGGGCACGAACCCAUGUCCCCUGCAUCGGUAGGCGGACUCUCAACCACUGCGCCACCAGGGAAGCCCCGUCUUCUCACAUUCUUACUCUGAUGAAUCAAGCCUUACGGAGAAGCUCACAUGGCAAGGAGCCAAGCGUGGCCUCUGGCCAACAGCCAGUGAGAAAUGGAGGUCCUCGGUCCAACAGCCCGUGGGAAACUGAAUUCUGCCAAUGACGACAUGAAGGAGCUUGGAACUGAGUCCUGUCCCAGCUGAACCCUCAGAUGAGGCUGCAGCCCAGCCAACUUCUUGGGUGCAGCCUCAUGAGAGUCCUUGAGUGGGAGGACCCCGUUAAGCGGUGCCCGGAUUCCUGACCCAGAGGAACUCUUAGUUAAUGAAUGUUUCUUUAAAGUUGUGGCUCUAAGCUAUGCCUAAAUUUGGUGGUAAUUUGUCACCUGCUGAUAGAUAAUGGAUACAGUGAGCUUUAGACUCUGUAAGGCUGCUGGGUCAAGGAGCUCCAGGCUGCCUCGGAGGCAGACCCUCCUUGCUCUGUCUCUGCAUCUCUCACCCUUGCGCCAUCUCAUAGAGAGAAAGGCUCUACCUCACCUAACUUGGGAAGUGGGGCUGGGGGAGAAACCUUCCUCAUUUCCUGCCUGAGCCAGGGCAUGGGAGUCGGUCCAGGGAGGAUAUCCCCUCCAUCCUUCCCUCUCUUGCCACCCAUCCAAACACUCUCCCUCUUCUGUUGCUCUCAGGAGAAAAAGGAAGGGUGAAUCGGGUGUUCUGUGUGCUACACCUCGGAGCCUCCAAUAGAAAGGAGGUUUUUAUUUAGAAGAAAAAAGUUUUGCUAGAGGUUUAAUGAUUAACUUUAAGGAAUGAGCUGCAGAUCUGGAGGAGGUAGAGAAGCUACCUGUCCCAAGGCAAACAAGAAUGGCGUCCAUCGGCAGUGGAGGCUCCCAUGGGGAGCAGAGGUGGGGAUGACACCAUUAGACCAUUUACCUGAACAUCCAGGGAAGAGCUUUUGACAAGAAUCCUGCCAAUUUGUCUCCUGUUCUUCUCUAUGAGUCAGGAGCAGAUGGGUGACUGAGAACUUAUGUAACAGUUCAAAACAACUCUCCAGUGGCAUUUGGGGGCUGCCAUAUUUCUUCACUUUUUUUUACCUCUGGCACUGAAUGCUUAUAGAUCAACCCAGUCCCCAAGCGUCUCAACAAACAGGGGAUGGAAAAAUUCACCAAGUGUCUCAGCAACGUCUCCUCAGCUCACAAAUACGAAGAAAAAGGUAUUAUUUUCCAGGAAGAUGUUACUUUCCUGGAAACUUUACAAGCCAGGCGAUUUAAGAUUUUCAUGCGUCCUCCUUCCUUCCACUAAUGUUUCCUGUGCCUCUUGCAUAUCAGGUCAUGGGCUAAGGGCUGAGGUUACAAAGAUAGAUACUGUUCCUGUCUUCACUGGUUUAAAAGCCAGUGAAAAAAUACAUAAAUAUAGCCUUUCAAGUGAACGAAAAAAUGUUGGUGAAUUGAUCAUCAAAUUAAAAAAAAAGAAUGGAAGGAAUAAACAAAAAUCAUUUGAUGUUAAGAGGAUUUUAUUUCUCCUCUUUUCCAUUUUGGAGGAGACCUGACGAAGACUGGCUUCUCAGGCAUCCAGGCUCUUGUCACUUGUAGUGGUCAGGAUGCUGGCAUGUGAUUCAAAGGGGCAGCUGUUUGUCAGCAACUGGAGCGCACACCUGCACAAACACAUAUACAUAAACACACAGACUGCUGGGCUCCGGUCCACCAAAGAUGCCUAUCUAUUAACAUCUUGGAGGAGCAGGGCCUUUCUGUUGCCUCGGGUGCUGGUAACUUAGGAUGAAAACUCUGGGCUCCUAUCUUGUGCCAAUUACGGUGCCUCUCUUUAACCCCGGUCCUUUGAAAAGUGCUGCUCUGAGCAGGUUUUCAAGUACUGGGGGUGCUUGAUAAAUGGCCCUUAACAUUGAACUCAGGUGUCCACCAAAAAGCAUCUUGGCAAAGAAUUAGCAGUGAAACGAAUGGAGUCGCUUCCAAAUGAGCUGGACGUGCACACGUGCCUCAUGUUCAGCAACUUGUUGAAGAGUGAUGGGGACGCCGUACAGGGGCAGUCAGGUGGUUCUGGGGAGGGAGCCCACAUUCCGGCCCUAGUUCCCCCACCCAUUCUCACAGCCUAACCUCGUAGGAAACCCGUUCCCAUUCCCAGUCUCAUUUUUUCUUAUCUGUAAAAUAAAGGAUUUGAACUUUGGGCAA
This is a long non-coding RNA of Globicephala melas (long-finned pilot whale), 4001 nucleotides long. RefSeq lists it as uncharacterized. The record is from RefSeq and is a predicted model, not a curated record. Lineage: Eukaryota; Metazoa; Chordata; Mammalia; Artiodactyla; Delphinidae.